Panthera pardus (leopard) is the source of this 336-nucleotide unclassified non-coding RNA. Its record names the gene 7SK. It matches the Rfam family "7SK RNA". From Rfam's summary of the family: 7SK was discovered as an abundant small nuclear RNA in the mid-70s but a possible function has only recently been suggested. Two independent studies have found that 7SK RNA binds the CDK9/cyclin T complex (known as elongation factor P-TEFb). The record is from Ensembl. Lineage: Eukaryota; Metazoa; Chordata; Mammalia; Carnivora; Felidae.
GGAUGUGAGCGCAAUCUGGCUGUGACAUUUGUCACCCCUUUGAUCACCAUGGUUGAUUUGGCUGAUCUGGCUGGCUAGGGAGGUGUCCCCUUCCUCCCUCACCACUGCAUGUGCCUGUGUCCCUCUCUGAAGCUGCAUACUUGAUGGAAGAAGACGACCUUCCCUGUUAGAGAAGGACCAUUCUUCAGUCAAGGGGAGACAAGUAGCUGCACUCCUCUGCUAGAACCUCCAAACAAGUUCUCCAGGUCCAUUCGUAGGAGAAUGUGGGGCAGUCAAGCUUCCACAACUCCAGACACCUCCAAAUGAAUUACAGCUUGUGGACGUUUGCCUUUCUUA